RNAcentral lists this ribosomal RNA (418 nucleotides) under uncultured Nocardioides sp. RNAcentral describes it as "bacterial SSU rRNA". It matches the Rfam family "Bacterial small subunit ribosomal RNA", at positions 355 to 774 of the family's 1533-position model. The record is from RNAcentral. Lineage: Bacteria; Bacillati; Actinomycetota; Actinomycetes; Propionibacteriales; Nocardioidaceae.
UGGGGAAUAUUGGACAAUGGGCGGAAGCCUGAUCCAGCAACGCCGCGUGAGGGAUGACGGCCUUCGGGUUGUAAACCUCUUUCAUCAUUGACGAAGUCCAGCUUUUUGUUGGGUGACGGUAGGUGGAGAAGAAGCACCGGCCAACUACGUGCCAGCAGCCGCGGUAAUACGUAGGGUGCGAGCGUUGUCCGGAAUUAUUGGGCGUAAAGGGCUCGUAGGCGGUUUGUCGCGUCGGGAGUGAAAACACUGGGCUUAACCGAGUGCUUGCUUUCGAUACGGGCAGACUAGAGGUAUGCAGGGGAGAACGGAAUUCCUGGUGUAGCGGUGAAAUGCGCAGAUAUCAGGAGGAACACCGGUGGCGAAGGCGGUUCUCUGGGCAUUACCUGACGCUGAGGAGCGAAAGUGUGGGGAGCGAACA